RNAcentral lists this unclassified non-coding RNA (512 nucleotides) under Hevea brasiliensis (rubber tree). Lineage: Eukaryota; Viridiplantae; Streptophyta; Magnoliopsida; Malpighiales; Euphorbiaceae. The record is from RNAcentral.
AUAAGCUGAUUUUCAUAAGUUAAGUCAAAUACCCUCUGAAAGUUAAGGAUGCAGCUGAAGUGUUCAUUUUGAUAAAUUAGCAUCUUUGAAAUGCAUUAUCUUGGUCUGGGUAUUACUCCAAGGUCUUGGUCAAUUCUUUUGCAUAUUAUAAUAACUUUUGAACCCUUUCUUUAUUUGUUGGUCUUAUUUUAACUUUUGCACGACAUUGGAGUGCGAGUUAGUAGUUGGGAUGCUGAAUUGAACUAGCCAUAUUACCGACUAAAUACUGACAGUUUUCUAGUAGUUCACCCAUUCUUACGCUACUCUAAUAUAAGCACAUUUAAUUUAACUUAGGAGCUCUGAGGAUCUUGUGCCUCCACAUUUAUCAAAAGCAAUGUUGAUGGUAGAGGCACACCCUAUUUUCUUCUAGGCAUCGUAGAGCUUAGCAUCUCAUGUGUUGCAAACUGUCAUAGGAGCUUUGCAAUGCACCUUUUUUGACACAUUGAUAGGAAGGGUGUUUAGUCCCUAGAGUA